GGGUACUUAGCUCAGUUGGUUUAGAGCGCUUGGUUUACACCCAAGAGGUCAGGGGUUCGAAUCCCUUAGUACCCA
Molecule: transfer RNA, 75 nt
Filed under: Flavobacteriaceae bacterium
Lineage: Bacteria; Pseudomonadati; Bacteroidota; Flavobacteriia; Flavobacteriales; Flavobacteriaceae
Description: tRNA-Val
Rfam family: tRNA
About the family: Transfer RNA (tRNA) molecules are approximately 80 nucleotides in length. Their secondary structure includes four short double-helical elements and three loops (D, anti-codon, and T loops).
Source: RNAcentral